AACGUAGGACACAAGCGUUAUCCGGAGUUAUUGGGCGUAAAGAGCUUGUAGGCGGUCUGUCGCGUCUGCUGUGAAAAUCCGGGGCUCAACCCCGGACUUGCAGUGGGUACGGGCAGACUAGAGUGUGGUAGGGGAGACUGGAAUUCCUGGUGUAGCGGUGAAAUGCGCAGAUAUCGGGAGGAACACCAGUAGCGAAGGCGGCUCGCUGGGCCAUUCCUGACGCUGAGGCACGAAGGUCAGGGGAGCAAACGGG
RNAcentral lists this ribosomal RNA (253 nucleotides) under uncultured bacterium. Its description in RNAcentral is "partial 16S ribosomal RNA". It matches the Rfam family "Bacterial small subunit ribosomal RNA", at positions 524 to 776 of the family's 1533-position model. The record is from RNAcentral.